AGUGAACGCUGGCGGUAGGCCUAACACAUGCAAGUCGAACGGCAGCACAGUAAGAGCUUGCUCUUACGGGUGGCGAGUGGCGGACGGGUGAGGAAUACAUCGGAAUCUACUUUUUCGUGGGGGAUAACGUAGGGAAACUUACGCUAAUACCGCAUACGACCUACGGGUGAAAGCAGGGGAUCUUCGGACCUUGCGCGAUUGAAUGAGCCGAUGUCGGAGUAGCUAGUUGGCGGGGUAAAGGCCCACCAAGGCGACGAUCCGUAGCUGGUCUGAGUGGAUGAUCAGCCACACUGGAACUGGAACACGGUCCAGACUCCUACGGGAGGCAGCAGUGGGGAAUAUUGGACAAUGGGCGCAAGCCUGAUCCAGCCAUACCGCGUGGGUGAAGAAGGCCUUCGGGUUGUAAAGCCCUUUUGUUGGGAAAGAAAAGCAGCAGGUUAAUACCCCGCUGUUCUGACGGUACCCAAAGAAUAAGCACCGGCUAACUUCGUG
This 492-nucleotide ribosomal RNA is filed under the name uncultured bacterium. Its description in RNAcentral is "partial 16S ribosomal RNA". It matches the Rfam family "Bacterial small subunit ribosomal RNA", at positions 29 to 507 of the family's 1533-position model. The record is from RNAcentral.